CCUACGGGAGGCAGCAGUGGGGAAUAUUGGGCAAUGGGCGCAAGCCUGACCCAGCAACGCCGCGUGAAGGAAGAAUGCCUUCGGGUUGUAAACCUCUUUUCUUAGGGACGAAGAAAGUGACGGUACCUCAGGAAUAAGCCACGGCUAACUACGUGCCAGCAGCCGCUGUAAUACGUAGGUGGCAAGCGUUAUCCGGAUUUAUUGGGUGUAAAGGGCGUGUAGGCGGGAAAGCAAGUGAGAUGUGAAAACUCAGGGCUCAACCCUGAGCCUGCGUUUGAAACUGGUUUUCUUGAGUGCUGGAGAGGCAGGCGGAAUUCCGGGUGUAGCGGUGAAAUGCGUAGAUAUACGGAGGAACACCAGUGGCGAAGGCGGAUUGCUGGACAGUAACUGACGCUGAGGCGCGAAAGCGUGGGGAGCAAACAGGAUUAGAUACCCGAGUAGUC
RNAcentral lists this ribosomal RNA (443 nucleotides) under uncultured bacterium. RNAcentral describes it as "partial 16S ribosomal RNA". It matches the Rfam family "Bacterial small subunit ribosomal RNA", at positions 338 to 795 of the family's 1533-position model. The record is from RNAcentral.